Molecule: ribosomal RNA, 449 nt
Filed under: uncultured bacterium
Lineage: Bacteria
Description: partial 16S ribosomal RNA
Rfam family: Bacterial small subunit ribosomal RNA
Source: RNAcentral
GAUGAACGCUGGCGGUAGGCUUAACACAUGCAAGUCGAUCGCUGUCUUCGGACAGAGAGGCGCACGGGUGAGUAACACGUGGGAACAUGCCCUUAAGUACGGAAUAACACAUGGAAACGUGUGCUAAUACCGUAUACGCCCUACGGGGGAAAGAUUUAUCGCUUAAGGAUUGGCCCGCGUCCGAUUAGCUAGUUGGUGAGGUAAUGGCUCACCAAGGCGACGAUCGGUAGCUGGUUUGAGAGAAUGAUCAGCCACACUGGGACUGAGACACGGCCCAGACUCCUACGGGAGGCAGCAGUGGGGAAUAUUGGACAAAGGGCGAAAGCCUGAUCCAGCCAUGCCGCGUGAGUGAAGAAGGCCUUCGGGUUGUAAAGCUCAUUCAGAUGUGAAGAUGAUGACGGUAGCAUCAGAAGAAGCCCCGGCUAACUUCGUGCCAGCCGCCGCGGUAA